AUGCAAUACACAUGUUUAGUACUUCUACCGAUGUUUUGCAGGUUUUUAUAAUGUUUUUCUGUCACGAUCUGGAAGUAGUAGUGACAGGCUUAGUUUUCGAAAAACAGUGGUUUCUAUACAUUGUAACCUUUGCGUGACCUCGCGCAACUUGUAGAAUUCCCACGAGAAAUUUAGCGAAGUAAAUUGUUGAAAUUUAUAAAGAGGAAGAGUACAACUUUCUUUGUCCAGUUAGACCGGGACAAGAAGAUUGGAAGAGCGCAUUGCUCUACAAACCUAUUUUUCGAACAAAGCAGAGGAUUCUAGCAAAUAAACAUGACUCAGAAAAACCAAAAUUGCGUAAAAACCAAAAAAAGACUAAUAUUCAAAACAUUU
Long non-coding RNA from Centruroides sculpturatus (bark scorpion), 372 nucleotides. RefSeq lists it as uncharacterized. NCBI's taxonomy places the organism in Eukaryota, Metazoa, Arthropoda, Arachnida, Scorpiones, Buthidae. The record is from RefSeq and is a predicted model, not a curated record. The transcript has 3 exons.